UGAGUGCGAGCUUCUACGGAAGCGAAGUUGGUGACGUCAAGCUUCCAAGAAAAGCCCUAUACCCGUUAAGGCAUGAUUACCUGUACCCGAAACCGACACAGGUGGGGUGGUAGAGAAUACCGAGGGGCGCGAGGUAACUCUCUCUAAGGAACUCGGCAAAAUGACCCCGUAACUUCGGGAGAAGGGGUGCCAGCGCGAGCUGGUCGCAGUGAAUAGGCCCAGGCGACUGUUUACCAAAAACACAGGUCUCCGCUAAGUCGCAAGACGAUGUAUGGGGGCUGACGCCUGCCCAGUGCCGGAAGGUUAAAGAAGUUGGUCAGCGCAAGCGAAGCUAACGACUGAAGCCCCGGUGAACGGCGGCCGUAACAAUAACGGUCCUAAGGUAGCGAAAUUCCUUGUCGGGUAAGUUCCGACCCGCACGAAAGGCGUAACGAUCUGGGCGCUGUCUCGGAGAGAGGCUCGGCGAAAUAGAAUUGUCUGUGAAGAUGCGGACUACGUGCACCCGGACAGAAAGACCCUAUGAAGCUUUACUGUAGCUUGGUAUUGUGCUCGGGCUCGCAAUGCGCAGGAUAGGUGGGAGGCUUUGAUCCAUUGCUUGUGGGUGAUGGUGAGCCACUGGUGAGAUACCACUCUUUGCGAGCUAGGGUUCUAACGGUUACCCGUCAUCCGGGAACCGGACAGUAUCUGGUGGGCAGUUUGACUGGGGCGGUCGCCUCCUAAAAGGUAACGGAGGCGCGCAAAGGUUUGCUCGGGCUGGUUGGAAAUCAGCCGACGAGUGUAAAAGCAGAAGCAAGCUUGACUGUGAGACCUACAAGUCGAACAGGGAGGAAACUCGGCUUUAGUGAUCCGACGGUUCUGAGUGGAAGGGCCGUCGCUCAACGGAUAAAAGUUACUCUAAGGAUAACAGGCUGAUCUCCCCCAAGAGUUCACAUCGACGGGGAGGUUUGGCACCUCGAUGUCGGCUCAUCGCAACCUGGGGCUGAAGUCGGUCCCACGGGUUGGGCUGUUCGCCCAUUAAAGCGGUACGCGAGCUGGGUUCAGAACGUCGUGAGACAGUUCGGUCCAUAUCCGGUGCAUGCGCAGGAAUAUUGAGAGGAUUUCUCCCUAGUACGAGAGGACCGGGAGGAACGCACCUCUGGUGUACCAGUUAUCGUGCCAACGGUAAACGCUGGGUAGCCAUGUGCGGAGUGGAUAACCGCUGAAAGCAUCUAAGUGGGAAGCCCACCUCAAGAUGAGUAUUCCCAUGGCUUAAGCCAGUAAGGUCACGGGAAGAACACCCGUUGAUAGGCUCUAUGUGGAAGCGCAGUAAUGCGUGAAGCAGAGGAGUACUAAUAGACCGAGGGCUUGAUA
This 1350-nucleotide ribosomal RNA is filed under the name metagenome. RNAcentral describes it as "bacterial LSU rRNA". It matches the Rfam family "Bacterial large subunit ribosomal RNA", at positions 1564 to 2925 of the family's 2925-position model. The record is from RNAcentral.